CUGGGAGCAGGGUGGCCAUAGGGAGGCCUGAAAGCCGCAUCUCUGAAACUGUUGCCGUCGUUGGUCGUCUUCACGGGACGAAAAAGGCCCCGAGGUGGCUGUCCUGUCUAUGUGGUGCUGGGCCUCGGUCCCCGCUUUGUUGUAGUGGCGCUUACGCACCACAGCCCUAAAACAACCACCUUUUUGCAGUCCUGCUUCCCUCUAUGCGCAAACAUCGGGCACGCUUGUGUAGCAGAGGCUUUAGUCUGGGAUCAGGUGAAUGAGGGUUGCAGAAAGGAUUUCCCUUCACUGAGACUCGCAGCCUGGCCUCUCCUUUUCAGAGUAAGUGCCUACAUACAGCCUAUUUCAGUUCCUUCAAAGAAAUAAUUAUUUUCUACCGUGUGUGGCCCUUGCAGGAAGAAGUCCAAGCACCUCCCUCCCUCUGUUAUUCUGUAUCUCCAGUGAUCAGAGCACUUGCUUGGGAGCUGAAGAUGUGGCUCACAGUCCUUCUCCCAGAACUUUGUGUUUUGCCUUCUGACAGCUGGUCGACGUGAAGUACAUAGAGUAGACUUGGAAAAGGGGACUGAAAUCCAAGGCUGUUCCCCUCCCUUCCCCAUGGCAAUGUUAUUAUUGCUAGGUCACAGCCUCUUCUUGAUUGCUCCCAUGAAUCCUGAAUCCCCACCCUUUCCCCCAGGCAGCAGUACGGGUUCAACAGGCUGGUUGAAAAUGGAGCGUGUGUUAGGCUAGCCUACCUCCCGGCAGAUCCUCUUCAGGCUAGCCGACCUCCCUGGGUUAGAUACCCUUCAGGAAGGUGAGAGAGAGGCAUCUGAACCCCAUCAGCCAGAAGUGGGGAGACCUUGACCUUGGGUUUCCUGGUGUGGGGGGUACUGCAAGGCACACAGGGGGAAGGAAGUUCCCCCUGGGGAGUUGAGAAAGGGUUCAAAGGAGCUGGUGAAGUGUUAAGCAAAAGCAGUCAGUGGCUCAGCACAUGGUGGGGAAGUUGAUGAUAAGCAUUUGCAGCUGGUUCUCUCUCUCUCCCACCCUGGAGGAACUGGGCGGCUGCUGACUCAGGAGCUGCAUCAAGUUGGAGGAAUGGGAAUGGGGUCACAUUUCCUGAGUGCCUGAGACGUGCUGCAGCCAGUGAUGGGAUAGCGAUGGGCACCUCCUACCUGCUGUCCCCGUCUUGGAAGAGCGAUCACAGCACCGUGCUGUAAGGAGCUGGAGCUCGCUGAAAUCUUAUCCAAACGUUUUUGUUCUGACUUCGUUAGAAGAGGACUUAGUGCUUCAGUUCUUUUCAUACAACUUCUAUGAAGUUCAGUCUUACGGUGCCCUUCCUCUGGCAAGGGACUGAGAUGGGUUCGAUGCCUUAGCUGCUUUUUGGUUUUUUGCUGAGUGACAAGCUGUGGGGCAAUCUUUGCCCUCAGGGCCUGGGCAUUUACGGGUUUAGCGGGGACCAAGAAGAGGCCAAGGCUGACAAGUUAACCAUGCAUGGCCCGUGCCACCCGGCAGUGAGCUCUGAAGGCAUGGGAGGCAAUCUUUAUGCCUUUAUAAUGAACCUGAGAGCAGUGUAACGAUCUGGCUUGUUAUGACUGAACAGAAAACCCAUACUUCAUCUUGCUGUGGUGUUGUGCUUUCUUUUAAAUGUCAUCUGUAGAGUCUCCCAGUGAGUGGGAGCUUCAGUUUUGCUUUAUAUUUCUUACAGAUGCUGACAACAAAAUUUUCAUAUGAACAUGGUCUGCUGGGUUACUGAAAUAGAGCCAGAUUCUUUCUUAGAGGCUUAAGUAAGCUAAAAAGAGUUUGCAGUAACUCUUACACUUCAAUCAAACUAUUUUGUCACAGUGGUGAUGGGGACUGUUCUACUUGCAGGAAUGUUGGGACUAAUCAUGUGAGAAAAGAGAAAAGAUCCUGGAGUGAUGAGGCAGCAUAUUUCCCAUGUUUGAGGUCAGGAUUUAGUCUGUGAAGCUGACCUUUAAAACAGCCUGAAAAUGAGGAACGUGGCACCAGAGAGCGGAGCAGGAAGCAUGAACUGAUGUAAGAUACAUUUCUUCUGCCUAUGAAAUACUUUUUUUUUUUUUUUUUUUUUUUUUUAAAGCUCCAGGUUUGUGAUUCAGCAUUUUCUGCCACUGACAGAAUAUAAGAAA
This is a long non-coding RNA of Egretta garzetta (little egret), 2120 nucleotides long. RefSeq lists it as uncharacterized. The record is from RefSeq and is a predicted model, not a curated record. Lineage: Eukaryota; Metazoa; Chordata; Aves; Pelecaniformes; Ardeidae. The transcript has 3 exons.